Molecule: ribosomal RNA, 119 nt
Filed under: Triticum aestivum (bread wheat)
Lineage: Eukaryota; Viridiplantae; Streptophyta; Magnoliopsida; Poales; Poaceae
Source: RNAcentral
GGAUGCGAUCAUACCAGCACUAAAGCACCGGAUCCCACCAGAACUCCGAAGUUAAGCAUGCUUGGGCGAGAGUAGUACUAGGAUGGGUGACCUCCUGGGAAGUCCUCGUGUUGCAUUCC